This 675-nucleotide ribosomal RNA is filed under the name uncultured bacterium. RNAcentral's name for it is "bacterial SSU rRNA". It matches the Rfam family "Bacterial small subunit ribosomal RNA", at positions 139 to 808 of the family's 1533-position model. The record is from RNAcentral.
CGGGAUAACCCGGAGAAAUCCGGCCUAAUACCGCAUGUGGCCGAGGGGAGGCAUCUUCUUUCGGCCAAAGGAGGCGACUCCGGAGACGGAUGGGCAUGCGUGACAUUAGCUUGUUGGCGGGGUAACGGCCCACCAAGGCGACGAUGUCUAGGGGUUCUGAGAGGAAGGUCCCCCACACUGGUACUGAGACACGGACCAGACUCCUACGGGAGGCAGCAGUGAGGAAUAUUGGUCAAUGGGCGAGAGCCUGAACCAGCCAAGUCGCGUGAAGGAUGACGGCCCUACGGGUUGUAAACUUCUUUUGUCAGGGAGCAAUUGGGUCCACGUGUGGGCUUAGCGAGAGUACCUGAAGAAAAAGCAUCGGCUAACUCCGUGCCAGCAGCCGCGGUAAUACGGAGGAUGCGAGCGUUAUCCGGAUUUAUUGGGUUUAAAGGGUGCGUAGGCGGAAUAUCAAGUCAGCGGUAAAAAUUCGGGGCUCAACCCCGUCGUGCCGUUGAAACUGAUGUUCUUGAGUGGGCGAGAAGUAUGCGGAAUGCGUGGUAUAGCGGUGAAAUGCAUAGAUAUCACGCAGAACUCCGAUUGCGAAGGCAGCAUACCGGCGCCCAACUGACGCUGAAGCACGAAAGCGUGGGUAUCGAACAGGAUUAGAUACCCUGGUAGUCCACGCAGUAAACG